AGUGAACGCUGGCGGUAGGCCUAACACAUGCAAGUCGAACGGCAGCACAGUAAGAGCUUGCUCUUACGGGUGGCGAGUGGCGGACGGGUGAGGAAUACAUCGGAAUCUACUUUUUCGUGGGGGAUAACGUAGGGAAACUUACGCUAAUACCGCAUAUGACCUACGGGUGAAAGCAGGGGAUCUUCGGACCUUGCGCGAUUGAAUGAGCCGAUGUCGGAUUAGCUAGUUGGCGGGGUAAAGGCCCACCAAGGCGACGAUCCGUAGCUGGUCUGAGAGGAUGAUCAGCCACACUGGGACUGAGACACGGUCCAGACUCCUACGGGAGGCAGCAGUGGGGAAUAUUGGACAAUGGGCGCAAGCCUGAUCCAGCCAUACCGCGUGGGUGAAGAAGGCCUUCGGGUUGUAAAGCCCUUUUGUUGGGAAAGAAAAGCAGCAGGUUAAUACCCCGCUGUUCUGACGGUACCCAAAGAAUAAGCACCGGCUAACUUCGUG
Molecule: ribosomal RNA, 492 nt
Filed under: uncultured bacterium
Lineage: Bacteria
Description: partial 16S ribosomal RNA
Rfam family: Bacterial small subunit ribosomal RNA
Source: RNAcentral